AACGCUGGCGGCGUGCCUAACACAUGCAAGUCGAACGCGCUUUUUAGGAAGCGAGUGGCGGACGGGUGAGUAACACGUGGGAACCUACCUUGAGGUGAGGGAUACCGGCGAGAAAUCGCCGACAAGCCCGCAUACGUUUCCCGGUAUGGGGAAGCAAAGCUCUUUUUCGGAGGAGCGCCACAGGAUGGGCCCGCGGCCGAUUAGCUAGUUGGUGGGGUAAAAGCUCACCAAGGCGUCGAUCGGUAGCUGGUCUGAGAGGACGAUCAGCCACACUGGGAUUGAGAACGGCCCAGACUCCUACGGGGGGCAGCAGUGAGGAAUUUUCCGCAAUGGAGGCAACUCUGACGGAGCAACGCCGCGUGCAGGAAGACGGCCUUCGGGUUGUAAACUGCUUUUCUGUGGGAAGAGUUCGGACGGUACCACAGCAACAAGCCCCGGCUAACUACGUGCCAGCAGCCGCGGUAAUACGUAGGGGGCAAGCGUUGUCCGGAGUUACUGGGCGUAAAGGGCACGCAGGCGGUUGUGUCAGUUUGCGGGGACAGUGGGCGGCUUAACUGCCCAAGGGUCGCAAAGACGGCACGACUGGAGAGCGA
This 593-nucleotide ribosomal RNA is filed under the name uncultured bacterium. RNAcentral's name for it is "partial 16S ribosomal RNA". It matches the Rfam family "Bacterial small subunit ribosomal RNA", at positions 32 to 651 of the family's 1533-position model. The record is from RNAcentral.